Molecule: ribosomal RNA, 1329 nt
Filed under: Triticum aestivum (bread wheat)
Lineage: Eukaryota; Viridiplantae; Streptophyta; Magnoliopsida; Poales; Poaceae
Description: partial small subunit ribosomal RNA
Source: RNAcentral
AUGGCUGAUGCCGGUCGCACCGUGCUCCGUUACAACUUAUUCCCAACAAUGACUGCUAUCACGGUCAUUACUCCCCGUGGCCAAGCCUUGUUAACUAGGGUCAGCGAGCUUAUUGAUCUAAAUUCCGGUACCUGGGAUGAAACACUUACAAGGAUGAUCUUCAGUCCAGUUGAUGCUCGUAGAAUCUUGCAAAUUCCAUUAAAUCACAAUGCUUUCGAGGAUUUUAUUGCUUGGCAUCCAGAUAGGAGAGGAUUAUUCUCAGUUCGAUCGGCUUAUCAUGUGCAAUCGAUGCAUACUUUCAGGUCCCAUGCAAAUAACUUCUCCCGUCCAAGAGGUUCUGCGAUUCCGGCGGUCUGGUCAGCACUAUGGAAGCUCACUAUUCCACGCAAAACAUCGAUCUUUUGUUGGCGGCUAUUUCAUGGAAUCCUACCCCUAAAAGGCAUACUCGCCAACCGGCACAUGGGUGCAGUUGGGGCCUGUCCAAUUUGCCAUCAGAACUCUGAAGAUAUUCGUCACCUUUUCUUUCAAUGUAUACAUGCUCAAGGUCUCUGGAGGCGAUUAGGCUUUAGUGAAUUCAUUUUUUCGGCGAGCGACGUCGACCGCUCAGGUUUGGUGAUCAUGGAACAUAUCUUGUUGCUUCCCGACUCGACGCUUCUCAUUAUCCCAAGCCUGGACAUCAAGCAUAUAGUAGUUGUUGUCUGCUGGUUCCUUUGGUGGACUCGCCGUCAAAUAACUCACAAUGAGCCAUUCCCACCGAUUGAUAGGUGGCGUUUGUCAGUUCUGGCCAUUAACAAUAAUUAUCAUAAUGCUUUCAUGAAAAAUUCAGCUAUUGUAGAUCACAGAUUGGUCAGGACGGAGUCAGAGUUCACUAAAUUGAAUGUUGAUGCAGCAUAUUUCAUAGAUGUAGGUGGGGGUGCAACAGCAGCGAUCUUAAGAGAUGAGAAAGGUACUUUCCUAGCGACCCGGUGUAAUUAUAUUUCUUAUGCGGCGGAUGUCGUUACCACCGAGACUAUGGCUAUGAAAGACGGAUUAAGUUUGGCAAGCAAUUUGCGGUUGCAGAGGGUGGUGGCCGAAUCUGAUUCCCAAGAAGUAAUAAACUUGUACUGGGCAAACAAGAUGGUGAAUGCAGCGGCGGCUAUCUUUGCAGAGUGUGUUGAUAUUGGUUUAACCAUGGGGGAGGUCAAAUUUAAGCAUUGUUAUCGUUCGGCUAAUCAAGCGGCGCAUGUGCUAGCUAAUUACAGUUUGUGUAAUCAAUUUUCUAGUGUUUGGACUAAUGAGCCACCAGAUUGCCUGGUUAGUAAGCUCAUGGACAAUGUAUCUUUGAUGUGU